AUUGUAGUCUGCAACCCGACUACAUGAAGCUGGAAUCGCUAGUAANCGCGGAUCAGAAUGCCGCGGUGAAUACGUUCCCGGGUCUUGUACACACCGCCCGUCACACCAUGGGAGUCGGAAAUGCCCGAAGUCUGUGACCCAACCGGGAAGGAAGGAGCAGCCGAAGGCAGGUCUGAUGACUGGGGUGAAGUCGUAACAAGGUAUC
RNAcentral lists this ribosomal RNA (205 nucleotides) under uncultured bacterium. RNAcentral describes it as "partial 16S ribosomal RNA". It matches the Rfam family "Bacterial small subunit ribosomal RNA", at positions 1297 to 1500 of the family's 1533-position model. The record is from RNAcentral.